RNAcentral lists this long non-coding RNA (1559 nucleotides) under Anas platyrhynchos platyrhynchos (common mallard). RNAcentral describes it as "lncRNA (ENSAPLG00000029595.1)". The record is from RNAcentral. Lineage: Eukaryota; Metazoa; Chordata; Aves; Anseriformes; Anatidae.
CCAGGGUGUUUCUUUAACCAACAAUAGUUGGGGAAAAAAAAGAAAAAGCAUGGUGUUACAACAGUGAAACCAUUUACAUUUUUUCUGCUGCUAGAACAAGACUCCUUUCAGAUUUCUGGUGGCUUCUUUCCCAGGGCCAGCAGGCCAGUGGGAACAGGGAGCAAGAACCUGAAGAGGGCCAGAGCUUAUGGGUCUGGGCCACAAUGCUUCUCCACCAUAUGUCGUCCCUUGCUCACAGAGGAGAAAGUUCUCUCAUCUGCUGAACUUCAGCAUGAUUUGCCCUCCUGCACCCAGCAGCAGAGCCAACUGGAGUGCACCUUCUGGGAUACCCUCCUGGGAUACAGUGCGUGUGCCAGCUCCUGCUCUACCUGUGAUGUCCCCCUCUGCUUUGAUCCUUGCUGCACACCCACCAUGGGGCUGCCCUGCCCCAGCCUCUGCCCUCCUUUACCUCUUGGCAUCCUCUGAGCAAACUCAUCUUUAUCCAAGGCACAGUCUGCAGAGCCUGCAGAUGCCCUGCAGGAGGAAGAUGUCUACAUCAGUGGAGACAGGAGAGUGCUGAAAGCACAAGGACAUUCCUUUUCAACCUGAUUUAAGCUUUGGCUUUAAGCUGUGUUACCCAUUCAGCUGGACUCCAGUUAGACUGUCUCAUUGAGUGUGAUCCAUGGAAACUGGGUGAUUUCAGACUUGUAUCACAUUUAGUUCUGGAUAAUAUUUUGAUCACGUAUAAAUGAGUACAAGAUUUGUAUAGAUGAGUACAAAAAACAGAUACACAGCUCAUAAGGCACUAAUUAGAAGCCAGGGAAGUGGAAGCCUAAGAAGCAAGUGCACUCGGUGACAGGGCCAUCAAUAGGUAUGUUAUCAACAAAUUAUCUUCAAAAAGUAGCAUCAAAAUGGACUGAGGUAUGUCUAUUACACUGCUACCAUAUGAGUAGAAGCAAAGUUAGUCAGACUAACACUUCAAGUGCUUUAUUAAGGCCAAGUGAAUGAUGUGGAAGUAACCAUCAAUAAUUUAACCAUCAAUUUCCCCAAGCACCAAGGGAUUUAAAUUUUUAAGCAAAUGCACUUUGACUAAUUCAUGGGACUGGAUUUAUAAUGUGAUAAAAUUAUUACUGAAACAAUUUGAAUGGUAAAGGAUGGCUAUUAAUUGAACACUGUUAAACUGCACUGAGUUGUGUGUCAUUUGUCCCUUAGAUAUAUUUAUGCCCUGCACCAAAACUCUUCUGCUGUGGGCAUGUUCACAUCUGCAUGUUCAGACAUGCUUGCCUUGCAUAGCCCAGUCUAUGUGCUUGCUACGUUUGCAUGCACACAAUCUCCUCCUGCCAUAAAUGCAAAGAAGUUAUUGAAUCAGUCUAAAUUGUUCUGAUACUUACAUUUCUUUUUCCUCAUAUUUUAUCAGUCUGUGCUUGUGCUUAUCUUGUUAUUAUCUGGUUGAUACCAUAGGUGUGUGGCCGUUCUAGAGUCUGCUUGUCUGGAACAAGCAUGCGUUACAACAAGUAACAGAAAAAAAACAUCCUGACUGGUAUUUCACACUAAAUUUUAUGCACGGCAAGCAUAUGGUG